RNAcentral lists this ribosomal RNA (279 nucleotides) under uncultured bacterium. RNAcentral describes it as "partial 16S ribosomal RNA". It matches the Rfam family "Bacterial small subunit ribosomal RNA", at positions 506 to 784 of the family's 1533-position model. The record is from RNAcentral.
UGCCAGCAGCCGCGGUAAUACGGAGGGUGCAAGCGUUGUUCGGAUUUAUUGGGCGUAAAGCGCACGUAGGCGGUUUGAUAAGUCGGAUGUGAAAGCCCUAGGCUUAACCUGGGAAUUGCAUUCGAUACUGGCUAACUAGAGUGCGAGAGAGGGAGGUAGAAUUCCACGUGUAGCGGUGAAAUGCGUAGAUAUGUGGAGGAAUACCGGUGGCGAAGGCGGCCUCCUGGCUCGACACUGACGCUGAGGUGCGAAAGCGUGGGGAGCAAACAGGAUUAGAUA